RNAcentral lists this non-coding RNA (23 nucleotides) under Arabidopsis thaliana (thale cress). The record is from RNAcentral. Lineage: Eukaryota; Viridiplantae; Streptophyta; Magnoliopsida; Brassicales; Brassicaceae.
AAAGAAAAGGUGUCUUUGGUACA